GGAGGCCUUCCUUUAGGGAUUAGGGAGUGAGGCCGAGGAAGAAGAAGAGGAAGAGGAGGAAGAAUAGGAAGAAGAGGAGCGGAGAGAUGAAUAAUUGUAUUUGCCAUUAUUGGUUUUCUCUUUUUUCUUCUUUUUCUUGUGUUGGUUCGGUUGUGAGCCAUUGUUUUGUACUUUUCUCUUUUUUUCUGAUGAAUAAAAUGGCCUACUCAUCUUUUUAUUUACUUGAUGGCUUGAAUUGAACUGAUGUGCUUUUCGUCUGAAAGGUUGUUCGGUCAAGAAUAAGGAUGCUCGGUAAUCUUGC
RNAcentral lists this long non-coding RNA (301 nucleotides) under Phoenix dactylifera (date palm). RNAcentral describes it as "long non-coding RNA (PDAC_LNC002369)". Lineage: Eukaryota; Viridiplantae; Streptophyta; Magnoliopsida; Arecales; Arecaceae. The record is from RNAcentral.